AUUGAACGCUGGCGGCAUGCUUUACACAUGCAAGUCGAACGGCAGCACGGGGGCAACCCUGGUGGCGAGUGGCGAACGGGUGAGUAAUACAUCGGAACGUGUCCUGUUGUGGGGGAUAACCAGUCGAAAGACUGGCUAAUACCGCAUGAGCUCGGGAGAGGAAAGUGGGGGACCGCAAGGCCUCACGCGAUUGGAGCGGCCGAUGUCCGAUUAGCUAGUAGGUAGGGAAAGGCCUACCUAGGCAACGAUCGGUAGCUGGUCUGAGAGGAUGAUCAGCCACACUGGGACUGAGACACGGCCCAGACUCCUACGGGAGGCAGCAGUGGGGAAUUUUGGACAAUGGGGGCAACCCUGAUCCGGCCAUGCCGCGUGAGUGAAGAAGGCCUCGGUUGUAAGUAC
RNAcentral lists this ribosomal RNA (399 nucleotides) under uncultured bacterium. Its description in RNAcentral is "bacterial SSU rRNA". It matches the Rfam family "Bacterial small subunit ribosomal RNA", at positions 29 to 431 of the family's 1533-position model. The record is from RNAcentral.